CAGUUUUGAUUAUCCCUACAGUAUGAACUGAAUGCGACCCUGAAGUGACCCGCAUGCACAAAAGAGGUCCUGACGUAAUACGUGACCACACAGGCAAGCACUGUGUUUACGAAAGUAAAUAUGUUUUCCCCAUCACUCCUCCUCCUGGGACACAAUUGUGAUAUUUGUUGCAUUUUACUGACGUUAAGGUCGGAUAAAUGCAACCUGGCUUUUCAGACUGAAGUCACAUUGCAAAAUAUCAGAUACGAAUCAGAUUUAGGACCACAUAUCAAAGUAGCCUGGGUCGAAUUUGAAAAAA
Long non-coding RNA from Sphaeramia orbicularis (orbiculate cardinalfish), 298 nucleotides. RefSeq lists it as uncharacterized. The transcript is spliced from 3 exons. NCBI's taxonomy places the organism in Eukaryota, Metazoa, Chordata, Actinopteri, Kurtiformes, Apogonidae. The record is from RefSeq and is a predicted model, not a curated record.